This 73-nucleotide transfer RNA is filed under the name Chaetosphaeridium globosum. RNAcentral's name for it is "tRNA-Asn". It matches the Rfam family "tRNA". From Rfam's summary of the family: Transfer RNA (tRNA) molecules are approximately 80 nucleotides in length. Their secondary structure includes four short double-helical elements and three loops (D, anti-codon, and T loops). Further hydrogen bonds mediate the characteristic L-shaped molecular structure. tRNAs have two regions of fundamental functional importance: the anti-codon, which is responsible for specific mRNA codon recognition, and the 3' end, to which the tRNAs corresponding amino acid is attached (by aminoacyl-tRNA synthetases). tRNAs cope with the degeneracy of the genetic code in two manners: having more than one tRNA (with a specific anti-codon) for a particular amino acid; and 'wobble' base-pairing, i.e. permitting non-standard base-pairing at the 3rd anti-codon position. The record is from RNAcentral. Lineage: Eukaryota; Viridiplantae; Streptophyta; Coleochaetophyceae; Coleochaetales; Chaetosphaeridiaceae.
UCUCUAGUAGCUCAGUGGUACGAGCAGAUGGCUGUUAACUAUUUGGUCGUUGGUUCGAAUCCAACCUAGGGAG